This 2044-nucleotide long non-coding RNA is filed under the name Strigops habroptila (Kakapo). RNAcentral's name for it is "lncRNA (ENSSHBG00005000197.1)". The record is from RNAcentral. Lineage: Eukaryota; Metazoa; Chordata; Aves; Psittaciformes; Psittacidae.
UUUUUUUUGCUUUGAUCUUUGGAAAAAAAAAGUAAUAAAAGAAUUAAUAAAAAUGUACGUGAGUAUUGUAAAACCUGUCUUUCCUGUACUUGGUUUAUUUGGGGAUUUUUUUAUGUUCUGUCUGAAAAACCACUUUUAAACCAGAUAAUGAAAAAAGAUUAAAAUCUUCAUUAUAGAUCCAAUUUAUAAGUUUUUUUUAUAGCCAUGAUAGACUAAUCUAGUAGGAUUGUGUAUAGGUUCCUUUUUUGGUAUCAGCUUCCCCCAUACUAAAAGCAUAUCCAAAUUCAUACAUGUUUGUUAAUAUUCAAUAUUACCAAUAUUAUACAUUAUAUUAAUAACUAGAUUGUGCCUGUGAAAGUAGAGAGAUGGGUGAGAUUACAACAAGGAAGCUCUACAUUGGCUUCAUAACCCUUCCAUUCUGGGUUUCACUUUUUUGUUGUGUUUCUGUCCUGAGUUCAGCUAUAGCAGCCAUUUUUCUCCUUCUUAGUAGCUGGUGCAGUGCUGUUUUCAACUUUCAGCCUGGGAACAAUGCUGAUAACACUGAUGUUUUUAGUUGUUGCUAAGUAAUGUUUACUCUAAUCAACGACUUUUCAAUCUCUCAUGCUCUGCCAGUGAGGAGGGGCACGGGAAACCGGGAGGAAGCAGAGACAGGACACCUGACCCAAACUAGCCAAAGGAGUAUUCCAUACCACAGCACAUCAUGCCCAGAAUAUAAACCGGGGGGAGUUACUCGGAAGGCCCAGACCACUGCUUGGGUCAGGCUGGGUAUCGGUCGGUGGGUGGUGAGCAAUUGUACCCUCUCCCCUUGUUAUUUUCCUUAUCAUUAUUAUUAUUGGUGGUAGCAGCAGUAGUUUUGUAUUAUACUUUAGUUACUGGACUGCUCUUAUCUCAACCCGUGGGAGUUACAUUCUUCCGAUUCUCCUCCCCAUCCCUCCGGGAGCAGGGAGAGGAAGAAGGGGGGGGAGUGAGUGAGCAGCUGCGUGGUUCCGAGUUACCGGCUGGGCUCAAACCACGACAGCUCCCCUCCCUUUCCCCCCACUGUUCCCACUUUGAUCAUCUCUUCUGACUCCUCUUUGCUUUUGUGUUCAAAAGCCACCAGAUGAUAAUGCAGAUUCUGGCUGUUAAGCAGCUCUGUCAGCUCUCAGGGAAUAAAACCAGCAUUCAGGAGUAUGGGUGGAUGGCAGAGACUGACAAACUGGGACCAGCACAAGCCAUGAAUUGAGCAAUGUGGGCCAAGAGAUGCAAUUCAGAGGAGGCAGAAACCACUGCCUUGCCUUGCAUAAGGCAUCAUGGUGGAUGACGUGAUGACCUGAUGUGUCAUUUCUCCAAAAUGUGACAUCUCCCAUCUCCUGACACAAGUGGCACUCAGUUUAGAGGUACUUGUUUAGCAGCAAGAGACUGCCAAUCAGCAGAUCAGCGAUGUCUGGGUGUGGAGAGGCAGGAGCUCCUGGCUUCUAAUGACUUCCUGUGUGCAAAUAUACAUUCUAAUUUAGAAAAAAACCCACCACCACCACGUUACAUAUCUUUAUGAGAUUGACAAUCACUGCUGAAUGAAAAUAGCAGAGUCAAAUAGAACAAAUCUGUUGUACUUUUCAGGCAGUUUGCUGACAUUUUCUUGAAAGCAAAUUCUAAGUGGUGUAAGGAAGCAGAACACAUAAUGAGGAACAUAAAGAUAUACACUAUCUACUUACGUCUUGUUCCUGGUGGACUUAAAGGAAAUCUGGCUUGCCCACAACAGGUGUGGCAGAUGUCCUCAUGCCUAUGGGAUGUUGGAAGAUGUUGAAGAUGUUUAAGAUGUUAGCAGCUGGUGGGCAGCAGCCUGUCCCUCUGUUGGCUGGGCCAGCAUCCCCCGUCUCCUAGGAGAGCCACCCAUGACUUCAUAGAGGGGUAUGGCAACAUCCAGCUGCAACAAGAUGAUUUUGAGGCAAAAAACCUGCCAAUAAGAUUAGGACUUUCCAAAACGCCUUCUUCCAACUCUAGCAAUAAGAAAAUCAAUGGGAUUUACUUGCAUUACCAACUGUUACGUACUUGAACUGAGUGCAGC